GGCCCGCACAAGCGGUGGAGUAUGUGGUUUAAUUCGACGCAACGCGCAGAACCUUACCCAGUCUUGACAUCCCUGGAACCCCAUAGAGAUAUGGUUUCCACCCUAACCGGUGGUCAGGUGACAGGUGCUGCAUGGCUGUCGUCAGCUCGUGUCGUGAGAUGUUCGGUUAAGUCCGGUAACGAGCGCAACCCCUGUCCUUAGUUGCCAAUUAUGGAACUCUAAGGAGACUCCCGGUGUUAAACCGGCGGAAGAUGGGGAUGACGUCAAGUCCUCAUGGCCCUUACGACUGGGGCUACACACGUACUACAAUGGCAACUACAAUGAGCCGCAAGACCGCGAGGUGGAGCUAAUCUCAAAAAAGUUGCCUCAGUUCGGAUUGGAGUCUGCAACUCGACUCCAUGAAGUUGGAAUC
This 412-nucleotide ribosomal RNA is filed under the name uncultured bacterium. Its description in RNAcentral is "bacterial SSU rRNA". It matches the Rfam family "Bacterial small subunit ribosomal RNA", at positions 918 to 1333 of the family's 1533-position model. The record is from RNAcentral.